Molecule: ribosomal RNA, 271 nt
Filed under: uncultured prokaryote
Description: partial 16S ribosomal RNA
Rfam family: Bacterial small subunit ribosomal RNA
Source: RNAcentral
UACGUAGGGUGCGAGCGUUGUCCGGAAUUAUUGGGCGUAAAGAGUUUGUAGGCGGUUUGUCGCGUCUGCUGUGAAAAUCCGGGGCUCAACCCCGGACUUGCAGUGGGUACGGGCAGACUAGAGUGUGGUAGGGGAGACUGGAAUUCCUGGUGUAGCGGUGAAAUGCGCAGAUAUCAGGAGGAACACCGAUGGCGAAGGCAGGUCUCUGGGCCACUACUGACGCUGAGAAGCGAAAGCAUGGGGAGCGAACAGGAUUAGAUACCCCCGUAGU